GGGCCGGUAGCUCAGCUGGUAGAGCAGGGGACUUUUAAUCCCAAGGUCGCGAGUUCGAGUCUCGCCCGGCCCA
RNAcentral lists this transfer RNA (73 nucleotides) under Actinomycetota bacterium. RNAcentral's name for it is "tRNA-Lys". It matches the Rfam family "tRNA". From Rfam's summary of the family: Transfer RNA (tRNA) molecules are approximately 80 nucleotides in length. Their secondary structure includes four short double-helical elements and three loops (D, anti-codon, and T loops). Further hydrogen bonds mediate the characteristic L-shaped molecular structure. tRNAs have two regions of fundamental functional importance: the anti-codon, which is responsible for specific mRNA codon recognition, and the 3' end, to which the tRNAs corresponding amino acid is attached (by aminoacyl-tRNA synthetases). tRNAs cope with the degeneracy of the genetic code in two manners: having more than one tRNA (with a specific anti-codon) for a particular amino acid; and 'wobble' base-pairing, i.e. permitting non-standard base-pairing at the 3rd anti-codon position. The record is from RNAcentral. Lineage: Bacteria; Bacillati; Actinomycetota.